UGGGGAGCUGAACUCUUGGGGUCCUCUCACCAUGGCUUGGCCUCUUGUUUGUCUUUCACUGCUCACCUUCUGCUCAGGCUCCCUCUCCCAGCCUGUGGUGACUCAGGCUCCCUCUGUCUCUGCAUCCCCGGGGAGCACAGCCAGACUUGCCUGCACCCUGAGCAGUGAGCUCAGUGGUUAUGAUGCUCAUUGGUACCAGCAGAGCCCAGGAAAGGCCCCUCGGUUUAUCCUGUAUGUCGACAGUGAUGGAGAUAUAGGUAGUGCUAAUGGGCUCCCUGAGCGCUUCUCAGGCUCUGGCUCUGGGGCCAAUAGAUUUCUGUCCAUCAGCAACGUCCAGCCUGAGGAUGAAGCCGAUUAUUACUGUCAGGCAUAUUAUAUCACUGGUGAUGGUUAUGCUAAUACACAGUGA
Molecule: non-coding RNA, 409 nt
Organism: Gracilinanus agilis (Agile Gracile Mouse Opossum)
Lineage: Eukaryota; Metazoa; Chordata; Mammalia; Didelphimorphia; Didelphidae
Source: the annotation of a RefSeq genome assembly